UUUGACCUCAUUAUCUGUCAGGACUCACCCGCGACUUCCGCAUAUCC
This 47-nucleotide ribosomal RNA is filed under the name Pleurotus agaves. RNAcentral's name for it is "partial 28S ribosomal RNA". Lineage: Eukaryota; Fungi; Basidiomycota; Agaricomycetes; Agaricales; Pleurotaceae. The record is from RNAcentral.